This 292-nucleotide ribosomal RNA is filed under the name uncultured bacterium. RNAcentral describes it as "partial 16S ribosomal RNA". It matches the Rfam family "Bacterial small subunit ribosomal RNA", at positions 505 to 796 of the family's 1533-position model. The record is from RNAcentral.
GUGCCAGCAGCCGCGGUAAUACGGAGGGUCCAAGCGUUGUCCGGAAUCACUGGGUGUAAAGGGUGCGUAGGCGGACUCGUAAGUCAGAGGUGAAAGCCCGCGGCUCAACCGCGGAACUGCCUUUGAUACUGCGAGCCUUGAGUCCUGGAGGGGUUGGCGGAAUUCGUGGUGUAGCGGUGAAAUGCGUAGAUAUCACGAGGAACACCGGAGGUGUAGACGGCCAACUGGACAGGUACUGACGCUGAGGCACGAAAGCGUGGGGAGCGAACAGGAUUAGAUACCCGCGUAGUCC